Molecule: long non-coding RNA, 250 nt
Filed under: Notechis scutatus (mainland tiger snake)
Lineage: Eukaryota; Metazoa; Chordata; Lepidosauria; Squamata; Elapidae
Description: lncRNA (ENSNSUG00000019785.1)
Source: RNAcentral
GAGAGAAAGACAGACCGGGCUCAGGACGUGGGAAGGGCGUGGCCGGUCAGCCUUAGCGCCAGGAUUGAAGGAGGCAAUAUCUCAAUGGCUUCUGAUUUGGGAAAUGCCUCAGUAUUGGAUCCCAUAUCUGUGCCUGCUUUGGACAUUCAGGCUCCAUUGAAAAAGGCUAACAAGAAGGGAGGGCUUCCAGAGGCCAAGCGGAAAGGACGGGCCAAAAAGAUGAACAAAGAUGCCGAGGAUCUGCUUUUGG